This 253-nucleotide ribosomal RNA is filed under the name uncultured bacterium. Its description in RNAcentral is "partial 16S ribosomal RNA". It matches the Rfam family "Bacterial small subunit ribosomal RNA", at positions 524 to 776 of the family's 1533-position model. The record is from RNAcentral.
UACGAAGGGGGCUAGCGUUGCUCGGAAUCACUGGGCGUAAAGCGCACGUAGGCGGCUUCUUAAGUCAGGGGUGAAAUCCUGGAGCUCAACUCCAGAACUGCCUUUGAUACUGAGAAGCUUGAGUCCGGGAGAGGUGAGUGGAACUGCGAGUGUAGAGGUGAAAUUCGUAGAUAUUCGCAAGAACACCAGUGGCGAAGGCGGCUCACUGGCCCGGUACUGACGCUGAGGUGCGAAAGCGUGGAGAGCAAACAGG